GAAAAUACUUCUUUCUGUUAGAGAGAGCAAGAGUAAGUUGAAGUAAAAUCUCAAAUACGAGAGUUUGAGGGUUUGAGACAAAAGCUUAGUUAGAAGCUUUUGGUGUGAGAAAAUUAGAUAGAAAUUUUCUCGGGGUAUAACGGGUUGUGAGUUGAGUGUUGUGAGUGUUGUAAACACUGUAUUUUUUUUCUCCCUUUGUUAAAUAGAAGUGCAGCAAGAGGUGUGAGGCAAGAGAGAGUUUAGAAGAAUUUUUUUUUAAAUUUCUUACUUGCAAGAGCUCAAGUGAGCUCCCUUCGCCGGGCUGUUUCUUCGCCGACCGGCCACUAGGCUCUGAACCGAGAACGUGUACUCGUUCCUCCAUCUUCAGGCUACCAAACCCAACAAUCGAAAUGCCGAAGCCUUCUCUAUAUUUUCCUGACCAAAGGCCGCAAUAUCCUUCGGCGGCCAACGUCGAAUUCCCGACUUAGCCACCGGCCAACUUACGGCCUUCGUUUCUCACUAUCCUUACGACGAAAAAGGAUCGAGAAACCACCGUUGUGUAGCCUGAUCUACCUCGCACGAGGAAAACUAAGUAGUAGACCUUCGCGGCUAAACACCAUCGCGGAACGACGACCGGAAAACCCCCGACGGACAACUUCCAUUAGUGCUCACUUGGACAAGGGUAAGUUGACGCCCUUAUUUCGAUGCAUUCCCGUUUCUAUUAUAUUAUGGGAAAUUUCUGGGGUAUAGAUGGGAGUGUGGUGAAUAUUUGUUCAAAGUUUCAUGUUAUUUGAACUUCGUUUACUACCCUUUUAAAAUUUGAGAAGUCUACUGCCAGUAUCUGCUGAAACUGUCGUGAGGCAGAUGAUUAGGGUAAUUAUUUCAGUAACCAUAUGUUGAUAUUUAGCUCUAAAAUUUUUAUUGUAUGAAGAUAUAUGUGUUAGCUAUCUACAUAUAAAAUUUGAGCUCAUUCAGGUAACGUUUUCUAUUUUUUCAAAAAUCUGGACUUUCAGUUGGCAGAAACUGCCGAAUCUGGUAGGCGAUGGGAAAAUCGCUAUAUCUCUUAAACUACUUGGAGUUUUUCAACAUACUUUUUUUCAAUUAAACUAGACUCAAAGAGGUUUCUAUUGAUAUAAAAUUCGACUCCAUACGAGUUCGGAGUAAAAGCAGUUUAUUAGUUGAAGUUGAAUCUAUACAGUUUUGUUGAGAUGGAAAUGAUUCAAAAUAAUUCCUAUUAAGAAUUUUAAAGUUUUAUUGUCGAUAAAAUAUCACUUUUAGAUUAUAAAUGAGCUAUUGAUGUGUAUAUAUAUAUAUUGGUGAUUGGCAUUAUUAAAUGGGGAAAAGGAAAACGUUUUAUGUUUAUAGAAUUAUUCUUUAUUUAUAAUAGAUAAAUAAAUGAAUAAUAUAAAAUGGAAUUUCCUACAUCCUCAAAGGUACAUGAAAUAUUUUGAUAAAGGAAGAACGAUUGUAUAUGAGUUAGAUAUAGUCGUUUAAGGAAAUAUGGGUAGUUAGAGAAAUGAGUGAAUAGUGAUUCACUGCAUUUGUUGUUAUCUUUUCUAUUUUUCACUCGAACACAUGUUUUCGUGUUAUCAAAGGUUCAAAUAAACAAAAGCGUCUGAGUAACCUAUCGCGCUAAGGAAAGAGAAUCGUUGUCUUAAGUAGCAAAACACUGCAAUCAGGUGGGCAUUACUUUCAUAUAUAUCAAAUGAGUUUAAAUGUUACGUUCAAGCAAGUUAUUUCAUGAUAAAAUCUUUGAGUUAAAGUUAUUUCAAGUAUUGUCUUGCCAUAAAAUGUUUCAAUUUUAGUAUGAUAUCUAUCUGCUUUGGCUUUGCCAAUGAUGCAAUCGAAUUCGGGUCCUGAGCAGUUGAUAGCUAUCCUGCCAGGACUAGUGUACACCAGUGACCGUGAGUCAUCUAGCGGGUUGGCCGGUCAAGUGACCGUGAGAGGUGGCCACCUCUCCGGCACACAGUUCCAGAUAUGAUAGAUUACAAGAGAACUUAGUCUGCAGACGAACUUUAAGAAUCACAAAUGAAUUUAGUAAGUUGGGCCUUUUUAGCGAAAAACUCCCUUGCUGUACUGUUUAUGAUGGCAUGACAAUUUACAGUUUUGAAGCAUGUAUUUUUAUACCUAGGCAUACGUGCCCACUGAGUGCUUUUGUACUCAGCCCUGCAUAUGUUUUCUAAAUGUGCAGGUUGAGCUGAUGUGAUGAUGGUGCUGCAAUGAGCGGAGUCUCCAGGGUUGUUAAUAAAUAGUUAACCUGUCUAGAAUAUGUCUUCAUACAUAUGUCUAGCUACUUUCCGCUGCAAGAUGUUGUUGAUGUUAUAGUAUGUUAUGUCAUACUUUGAGUCUUAAGAGAAUGGUUUCAUAUGAUGU
This 2352-nucleotide long non-coding RNA is filed under the name Salvia miltiorrhiza (redroot sage). Its description in RNAcentral is "long non-coding RNA (SMIL_LNC005795)". The record is from RNAcentral. Lineage: Eukaryota; Viridiplantae; Streptophyta; Magnoliopsida; Lamiales; Lamiaceae.